This 204-nucleotide long non-coding RNA is filed under the name Capsicum annuum. RNAcentral's name for it is "long non-coding RNA (CANN_LNC017301)". The record is from RNAcentral. Lineage: Eukaryota; Viridiplantae; Streptophyta; Magnoliopsida; Solanales; Solanaceae.
AUUUGUAGAGUGCCCUUUAUAAUAUUAAUCAGUACUUUUUCCAUCACCAAGAUUUGACGUCCUAAUAAUUGGUACCCUAUUAUCUGUAUCAUAAUCAAGAACAAUAAAUUCAAUAGGAAUAAUAAAUUUACUAACCUUAAUGAGGACGUCUUCAAAGAUUCCUUUGGGAUGAAAUCCCAUUCUAUCUGCCAAUUAGAUCACCAC